Molecule: small nuclear RNA, 23 nt
Filed under: Arabidopsis thaliana (thale cress)
Lineage: Eukaryota; Viridiplantae; Streptophyta; Magnoliopsida; Brassicales; Brassicaceae
Description: snRNA_09980
Source: RNAcentral
AGAACAGCUGGUUUCUACUGUUG